This 422-nucleotide ribosomal RNA is filed under the name uncultured bacterium. RNAcentral describes it as "bacterial SSU rRNA". It matches the Rfam family "Bacterial small subunit ribosomal RNA", at positions 11 to 420 of the family's 1533-position model. The record is from RNAcentral.
GUUUGAUCCUGGCUCAGAGCGAACGUUAGCGGCGCGCCUAACACAUGCAAGUCGCACGAGAAAGGGGGCAACCCCCGGUACAGUGGCGCACGGGUGAGUAACACGUGGGUGAUCUGCCCAGAAGAAGGGGAUAACCUCUCGAAAGGGGGGCUAAUACCGCAUAGGACCACCGGGGCUCUGGCUCUGUGGUGAAAGGGGGCCUCUGUUUACAAGCUCCUGCUUCUGGAUGAGCCCGCGUCCCAUCAGCUAGUUGGUAGGGUAAUGGCCUACCAAGGCUACGACGGGUAGCUGGUCUAAGAGGAUGGCCAGCCACACUGGAACUGAGACACGGUCCAGACUCCUACGGGAGGCAGCAGUGGGGAAUCUUGCGCAAUGGGCGAAAGCCUGACGCAGCGACGCCGCGUGGGUGACGAAGGCCUCGG